AUAGUUUAGUGUAGGGAGUUCUCGGUUUAAGACGGUCUCUAUCUAAGACGUUUCGACUUUACAACACCCAAGUCUUGUCGCCAUUAUGGGCCCAGCACCAUAAUGUUUCGGCUUAGCUCAUGCAUAUGGCUUAUCUGUGUUUGUGCGCUGAGAGUUUAUUUGCCCUUUUCGCAUUAUGGCCCAAAAGAAGAAAGCUCUUUUUUUUUUUGGGGGGGGGGGGGACUGUGGAACCAAAGCUUAACAUCAUAAAAUAAAAAAUAGAAAAAAGACGGAGAAAGGAUUAACACCGACGGACAUGACUGGCAUAAGGACUUGGGCUUCAGACGGAUGACCGUAGCGAUUAUUAUUAAGGACAAAGCCUGUAUUUUAGCGCACAUGAAGGGUUUCACUCCAAUGAGGGACACAGAGUACACAAAGCAACUUUUUUUGAGUAGGAAAAAAAAAACGGAGCAACGUUCUUCGAUCGUUGCUGAGAUGGAAAGAUUACUAACGUUAUGGAUCGAGGAUCUGAAUGAACGUAGGCCUAAUAUCAGCCUCAUGUUCAUUGAGGGAAAAGGCACGGCGUAUUUGCCUAACUAUGAAAGAGCAGAAAGGAGAGGACGCCGAGGAGGAAUUUACCGCUAGCAACGGGCUACGUGCACUUGGUUACUUAGCAAUAGCUGAGCGCAGGCUGACUUCAUUCUUCACCAUCCCAGCCUCCCUUCCCUAAUAGACGACAGCUAAGUGUGGAGCAACACUUUGAUUGUUCCUGUGAAGUCCACUCGGCGGCUAUCGGGCCCAUCUUGCUCUGGAUGUGGCCGGUUCUACUUACAAGUGCCAUAGUUGUGAUCAAUCCCUUAGCCAGAAGCCUUGGAUGUGGCAGUAGGCCUCCAGGCUGGAGAAGAGGAUGUAGAGAAACCACAGGCCUAGAAAAAGAAGGCUGGUGAGGCUGCGGGAUAGUCGAGACCCCCCCAGCUCGCCUCCGAUAGAGGGCCGGCGACGGA
Long non-coding RNA from Syngnathoides biaculeatus (alligator pipefish), 983 nucleotides. RefSeq lists it as uncharacterized. The record is from RefSeq and is a predicted model, not a curated record. The transcript has 3 exons. NCBI's taxonomy places the organism in Eukaryota, Metazoa, Chordata, Actinopteri, Syngnathiformes, Syngnathidae.